This 77-nucleotide transfer RNA is filed under the name Pseudomonas nitroreducens. Its description in RNAcentral is "tRNA-Glu". It matches the Rfam family "tRNA". Rfam says of the family: Transfer RNA (tRNA) molecules are approximately 80 nucleotides in length. Their secondary structure includes four short double-helical elements and three loops (D, anti-codon, and T loops). Further hydrogen bonds mediate the characteristic L-shaped molecular structure. tRNAs have two regions of fundamental functional importance: the anti-codon, which is responsible for specific mRNA codon recognition, and the 3' end, to which the tRNAs corresponding amino acid is attached (by aminoacyl-tRNA synthetases). tRNAs cope with the degeneracy of the genetic code in two manners: having more than one tRNA (with a specific anti-codon) for a particular amino acid; and 'wobble' base-pairing, i.e. permitting non-standard base-pairing at the 3rd anti-codon position. Lineage: Bacteria; Pseudomonadati; Pseudomonadota; Gammaproteobacteria; Pseudomonadales; Pseudomonadaceae. The record is from RNAcentral.
GCUCCUGUCGUCUAAGCGGACUAGGACAAUCCCCUUUCACGGGAUUAAUGCGGGUUCAAUCCCCGUCGGGAGCUCCA